This 895-nucleotide ribosomal RNA is filed under the name Ragnhildiana perfoliati. Its description in RNAcentral is "LSU rRNA". It matches the Rfam family "Eukaryotic large subunit ribosomal RNA", at positions 36 to 960 of the family's 3401-position model. Lineage: Eukaryota; Fungi; Ascomycota; Dothideomycetes; Mycosphaerellales; Mycosphaerellaceae. The record is from RNAcentral.
UAGCAUAUCAAUAAGCGGAGGAAAAGAAACCAACAGGGAUUGCCCUAGUAACGGCGAGUGAAGCGGCAACAGCUCAAAUUUGAAAUCUGGCGCAUGCCCGAGUUGUAAUUUGUAGAGGAUGCUUCUGGCCGGCGGGCGUUCUAAGUUCCUUGGAACAGGACGUCAUACAGGGUGAGAAUCCCGUAUGUGACCGGCGCGCAACCUUUACGUAGCUCCUUCCACGAAUCGAGUUGUUUGGGAAUGCAUCUCUAAAUGGGAGGUAAAUUUCUUCUAAAGCUAAAUACCGGCCAGAAACCGAUAGCGCACAAGUAGAGUGAUCGAAAGAUGAAAAGCACUUUGGAAAGAGAGUUAAAAAGCACGUGAAAUUGUUGAAAGGGAAGCGCUUGCAACCAGACUUCGUAGCGAUGUUCCGCCGGUCUUCUGACCGGUCUACUCAUCGUCGCGAGGCCAACAUCGUCUGGGACCGCUGGAUAAGACCUAAGGAAUGUAGCUUCCCUCGGGAAGUGUUAUAGCCUGUGGUGAUGCAGCGCGUCUCGGGCGAGGUCCGCGCUUCGGCAAGGAUGUUGGCGUAAUGGUUGUCAGCGGCCCGUCUUGAAACACGGACCAAGGAGUCUAACAUCUAUGCGAGUGUUCGGGUGUCAAACCCCUACGCGUAAUGAAAGUGAACGGAGGUGGGAAGCGCAAGCUGCACCAUCGACCGAUCCUGAUGUCCUCGGAUGGAUUUGAGUAAGAGCAUAGCUGUUGGGACCCGAAAGAUGGUGAACUAUGCCUGAAUAGGGUGAAGCCAGAGGAAACUCUGGUGGAGGCUCGCAGCGGUUCUGACGUGCAAAUCGAUCGUCAAAUUUUGGGUAUUAGGGGCGAAAGACUAAUCUAACCCUCUUGUAACUGGUCCGCC